UCCAGAGGUCUCAAGCGUUGUUCGGAUUCAUUGGGCGUAAAGGGUGCGUAGGUGGCGCUGUAAGUCGGGUGUGAAAUUUCGGAGCUUAACUCCGAAACUGCAUUCGAUACUGCGGUGCUUGAGGACUGGAGAGGAGACUGGAAUUCAUGGUGUAGCAGUGAAAUGCGUAGAGAUCAUGAGGAAGACCAGUGGCGAAGGCGGGUCUCUGGACAGUUCCUGACACUGAGGCACGAAGGCCAGGGGAGCAAACGGG
Molecule: ribosomal RNA, 253 nt
Filed under: uncultured bacterium
Lineage: Bacteria
Description: partial 16S ribosomal RNA
Rfam family: Bacterial small subunit ribosomal RNA
Source: RNAcentral